GAUGAACGCUGGCGGCGUGCCUAAUACAUGCAAGUCGAGCGAACAGACGAUGAGCUUGCUCCUCUGACGUUAGCGGCGGACGGGUGAGUAACACGUGGAUAACCUACCUAUAAGACUGGGAUAACUUCGGGAAACCGGAGCUAAUACCGGAUAAUAUAUUGAACCGCAUGGUUCAAUAGUGAAAGACGGUUUUGCUGUCACUUAUAGAUGGAUCCGCGCCGCAUUAGCUAGUUGGUAAGGUAACGGCUUACCAAGGCAACGAUGCGUAGCCGACCUGAGAGGGUGAUCGGCCACACUGGAACUGAGACACGGUCCAGACUACUACGGGAGGCAGCAGUAGGGAAUCUUCCGCAAUGGGCGAAAGCCUGACGGAGCAACGCCGCGUGAGUGAUGAAGGUCUUCGGAUCGUAAAACUCUGUUAUUAGGGAAGAGCAAAUGUGUAAGUAACUAUGCACGUCUUGACGGUACCUAAUCAGAAAGCCACGGCUAACUACGUG
This 497-nucleotide ribosomal RNA is filed under the name uncultured bacterium. Its description in RNAcentral is "partial 16S ribosomal RNA". It matches the Rfam family "Bacterial small subunit ribosomal RNA", at positions 28 to 507 of the family's 1533-position model. The record is from RNAcentral.